AGCAGCCGCGGUAAUUCCAGCUCCAAUAGCGUAUAUUAAAGUUGUUGCAGUUAAAAAGCUCGUAGUUGAAUUUCGGGGUUCAUACGUUGGUCGGGCUAUUUGGUCUGUACUUAUGUAAUGGAUUCCUACCUUCUGAAUAACCGGCAUGCCAUUAAUUUGGUGCGCCGGGGAAGCAGGACUGUUACCCUGAAAAAAUUAGAGUGCUUAAAGCAGGCUAUCGCCUGAAUACAUUAGCAUGGAAUAAUGAAAUAGGACGGCAUGGUUCUAUUUUGUUGGUUUCUAGGAUCACCGUAAUGAUUAAUAGGGAUGGUUGGGGGCAUUAGUAUUCAAUUGUCAGAGGUGAAAUUCUUGGAUUUAUUGAAGACUAACUUCUGCGAAAGCAUUUGCCAAGGAUGUUUUCAUUAAUCAAGAACGAAAGUUAGGGGAUCGAAGACGAUCAGAUACCGUCGU
This 450-nucleotide ribosomal RNA is filed under the name uncultured Glomeromycotina. RNAcentral describes it as "SSU rRNA". It matches the Rfam family "Eukaryotic small subunit ribosomal RNA", at positions 569 to 1021 of the family's 1831-position model. Lineage: Eukaryota; Fungi; Glomeromycota. The record is from RNAcentral.